Molecule: ribosomal RNA, 383 nt
Filed under: uncultured eukaryote
Lineage: Eukaryota
Description: partial 18S ribosomal RNA
Rfam family: Eukaryotic small subunit ribosomal RNA
Source: RNAcentral
CAAUAGCGUAUAUUAAAGUUGUUGCAGUUAAAAAGCUCGUAGUUGGAUUUCUGGUGGGAGCGAUCGGUCUGGCGCUUAGCGCGAGUACUUGCAUCGUCUCCGGCCAUCCUUGGGGAGAGUCUGGCUGGCAUUAGGUUGUCGGGCAGAGGAUCCUCAUCGUUUACUGUGAAAAAAUUAGAGUGUUCAAAGCAGGCUUAUGCCGUUGAAUAUAUUAGCAUGGAAUAAUAAGAUAGGACUUUGGUACUAUUUUGUUGGUUUGCGCACCAAAGUAAUGAUUAAUAGGGACAGUUGGGGGUAUUCGUAUUCCGUUGUCAGAGGUGAAAUUCUUGGAUUUACGGAAGACGAACUACUGCGAAAGCAUUUACCAAGGAUGUUUUCAUUAA